RNAcentral lists this long non-coding RNA (561 nucleotides) under Coffea arabica (coffee). RNAcentral describes it as "long non-coding RNA (CARA_LNC007263)". Lineage: Eukaryota; Viridiplantae; Streptophyta; Magnoliopsida; Gentianales; Rubiaceae. The record is from RNAcentral.
CGGAGAACUCCGUGUGAACCGAAGAAUCUUCAAAUUCCUGGGAAGGAGAGUAGAUGAUACAAAAUAUCAUGACAAAGUACAAAGCUUUCCCAGUUCAUAACCCCUUAAAACCAACGGAGGUUUUUAUACGUUGAUGGAACUAAAUACCAACAAAAAAACAUUUUUCCCUAAACAGUAAAACUGUGUUCCUGAGCUAUUCCCUCGCCCUCCCCCCCCCCAAAAAAAAACAAAAACAGAACUCAACAAGACAAAAUCACCUCUGAAAUUCAAACAAACCUAAUCCAGCUUAAGCACGAAAUCAAAAAGGUAUAUUAAAAUCAUAUGCAUUCUAAACAAAAGAUGCAGUCAAAAAAAAAAAAAUCGUUCAAAAAGUGAACCAAAGAAUCUUCAAAUUCCUGGGAAGGAGAGUAGAUGAUACAAAAUAUCAUGACAAAGUACAAAGCUUUCCCAGUUCAUAACCCCUUAAAACCAACGGAGGUUUUUAUACGUUGAUGGAACUAAAUACCAACAAAAAAACAUUUUUCCCUAAACAGUAAAACUGUGUUCCUGAGCUAUUCCCUC